This 393-nucleotide ribosomal RNA is filed under the name uncultured bacterium. Its description in RNAcentral is "bacterial SSU rRNA". It matches the Rfam family "Bacterial small subunit ribosomal RNA", at positions 28 to 416 of the family's 1533-position model. The record is from RNAcentral.
GACGAACGCUGGCGGCGUGCCUAACACAUGCAAGUGGAGCGACGAACCAGGCUUCGGCCUGGGGCAGAGCCGCGAACGGGUGAGUAACACGUGGGUAACCUGCCCUGAUGAUUGGGACAACCCGAGGAAACUCGGGCUAAUACCAAAUGUGCCCUCCGACCAUAAGGUCGCUGGGGAAAGGAAGCUUCGGCCUCCGCAUCGGGAUGGGCCCGCGGCCCAUUAGCUUGUUGGUGAGGAAUGGCUCACCAAGGCAACGAUGGGUAGCUGGUCUGAGAGGACGAUCAGCCACACUGGGACUGAGACACGGCCCAGACUCCUACGGAGGCAGCAGUGGGGAAUCUUGCGCAAUGCGCGAAAGCGUGACGCAGCAACGCCGCGUGGGGGAAGAAGGCC